ACGGACGAGGCCCCUUCGGGGACCGAGUUAGUGGCGAACGGGUGAGUAACGCGUGAGGAACCUGCCUUUCAGUGGGGGACAACAGUUGGAAACGACUGCUAAUACCGCAUGAAGCAUUUAGGGGGCAUCCCCUGAAUGCCAAAGAUUUAUUGCUGAAAGAUGGCCUCGCGUCUGAUUAGCUAGUUGGAGGGGUAACGGCCCACCAAGGCGACGAUCAGUAGCCGGUCUGAGAGGAUGAACGGCCACAUUGGGACUGAGAUACGGCCCAGACUCCUACGGGAGGCAGCAGUGGGGAAUAUUGGGCAAUGGGGGAAACCCUGACCCAGCAACGCCGCGUGAAGGAAGAAGGCUUUCGGGUUGUAAACUUCUUUUACCAGGGACGAAGAAAGUGACGGUACCUGGAGAAAAAGCCACGGCUAACUACGUGCCAGCAGCCGCGGUAAUACGUAGGUGGCAAGCGUUGUCCGGAUUUACUGGGUGUAAAGGGCGUGUAGGCGGAGAUUCAAGUCAGGAGUGAAAACUAUGGGCUUAACCCAUAA
Molecule: ribosomal RNA, 539 nt
Filed under: uncultured bacterium
Lineage: Bacteria
Description: bacterial SSU rRNA
Rfam family: Bacterial small subunit ribosomal RNA
Source: RNAcentral